UCGGGUCAAUAACACAUACUUUCUUUCAUUUUAUUUCAAAAGCUAAGGAGUAAUAGCAGGUUGAAUGAUUCGAUGCUACAUUGUCUUAUUCAAAAUUUCCUCAAACUCUCACAAAAGAGGGGAGACUCGGUGCAUUAAAGACACCUAUAGUAGCUUGUUUGCAGAUUCAAGCAUAACAAAAGCCCAUCUUUGUGGUCAACUUUGGCUCCUCACGUUGAUGGUGGAAUUUCCCAAUGCCCUGGCAGGGGACCAACAUCAUAUAUUAUUUCUCUAUGGCAAGACCAGACUAGUUUUAUGGCUUCUGGUGUUCCAAUUCCUGCACCUCUUGGGUCUCCUGCUGGUCCAAACCAAUGAUUCUGAGGAGCCCCAGUUGUUCUUGCUCUUAUUCCAGCAUAUGUAGUCCCAUUUACAGUUUUUCCAAUAACUUCCUGCAGAAACAGAGGAUCAUUUGAAACGACUGCAGCUGUUAAAUGAGCAUGCAUCCUCUCCAGAGCUUCCAAAACCAGUGGAAGUUGAUCUAUCUUGUAAUCAGUAAUAAUCUGGAACGGUCCAAAUAUCUCUCUUGUUACCAGCUCAUAAUUGCUCUCUUUCAAAAUUUCUUCAAGAGGAACAUAUAUGGCUGUUGGUUUUAUUGCACCAUAUAUGGAUGGAAUGGAAUGAUUCUCCAGAGGUUUGCCACCAAAGAGUAGCUUUGAACCUGGUAUCUGAAGUAAUUUAUUCAUGUGCUCUACCAUUGCUUCAGUUGUAAAUGUGAGAACAGGACCAACUGUUAGAUCUUCUAAUUUUCUUCUCUCUGCAAGAUCCUUCAUUUUGGAUAUAAGUGAAGUACCUGACCAGUUCUCAUGCAUGAAUAAUAUUGACUGUGCAGAGCACUUCUGACCACUGCAGGCAUAUGCAUCCUGGUCACAAACCCAUGCAACAUAAUCCACCUCAUUUACAUCAGGCCCUAGAACUUUCCAGUCAAACCCUGCAUCUUCCAAUUUAAUACGACCCUUAAGGUCAACAGCCAACUUAUCUGCAACUCUUGAGCUACCAGUAAAGAGGGUCAUACGGGGAUUUGCCUCCAAUAAUAGUUUGUUCAUUGUCUUUCCAUCAGAAUUUAUGAAGUCUGCAUCUUCCACUGGCAGCCCACAGUAGUGAAGAAGCCGCAUCAUUUGCUCCAUAACAAGGCAUACCUUGCUAUCAACUUUAAGAACAGGUUUGUUGCCCAUGUAUAGUGCACCCAUCAUCUGAAGUACCGGAAUCUCUAAUGGGAAAUUGAAGGGAGUAAUAAUAGCUACAGGACCAUAUGGCCAUCGGAAACCAUGACUUUGCUGUCCAAGAUGAUUGCCAGGUACUGCAAAAGACCUUGCCAAGAAACGAACCUGAUCACCAGAGAAAUUCUCCAGAAAUUUUUGAGUAACUUGAACUUCAGCAAGAGCUUGCUGAUAACUCUUUGGAGCAACCCUUUGUAUUAACCUAGUGAAGAAAUUGGAAACCUUUGGCACAGAAAGCAUGUGGGCUGCCUUUGCAGAUAUAUCGCCGUAUAAAAGAUACCUUUCUGGUGAUUUAAAGGGAUUGUGCAGUCCAUGCUUGGGGCACUUGGACAAGCUCUCCACAAAUGGCUGAAUUCUUGUUUCAUCUACUUCAGCAAUCUUAAUGAAUGGUUCUCCAUUUAAAGGAUCCACAAUUGUAUUCCAACUUGAAGAUCCUGUCCACUUCCCCUGCACCAAGUUCUGCACUUCCGCAGGCUGAGAACCUGAUAUCUCCUCAGCUUCUACUGUUGCAAAAGGCAAAGAAUGAACAGAUCUGCUNNNNAAGAGUGAAUGAACUGAGCCAACCUAUGCCCUUCUGGGCAGCUCUGGCUCUGAUUCCUCUGCAGCCCACAAAUCUGUACAUGGUAGUGACUGGUGAUUGAAG
Molecule: unclassified non-coding RNA, 1899 nt
Filed under: Hevea brasiliensis (rubber tree)
Lineage: Eukaryota; Viridiplantae; Streptophyta; Magnoliopsida; Malpighiales; Euphorbiaceae
Source: RNAcentral